UGGGCAGGUGGGAGGCACAGGGGCACAAUCGAUCGAUCGAUAGCGGGUCAGAGAAGGCGUGGCCCUGAGGGCGGCUGUUCUCAGAGGGGCUGUGUGCUGACUCAGGCUGAGGGCAGGGUGGGUCAAGCUCAGGGGCCUGGAGGAAGGACAGAAACCUAACCAAAGUGGGACUGAUUGUUGGGACUGAUCAGAGGGCGAGCAGUCCAGUUAAUCAUUGAUGAAGCAAAGAAAGGGAGUGGAGGGUCUGUGUCCGGCCUCCUCACAGGUAAACGCAGGUGGGUCUUAUCUAAAUCCCCGGGAAGGUGCGGCCUUGCCGAAGCCCUUUCCCAGAAGCCAGGGGCUGGGGGAUCCAGCCCAUUACUGUUUCCCAGGAUCCCUGGGCUCAGACCAGCUGGAAGAACCUAGAAGGGGAGAGGAAAAUGUCUUCCUCCUCACGAGCAUCGGUUUUUAAUGUGCCAUGCCGGUAUCCACACCCGUGUCAGUCCUUUGUGGCUCCUUUCUUCACGUACUAUUAUCACCAGUCUCGUUUUCCAGAUGAGGAGAUGGGGUGAAGAAAUCAAGAAACCUGUGUAAUAUCACCAACUAGUCAGCAGUCAGGACUUGAACCCAAGCAGUCAGGCCACAGAUUCCUGUACUUACCACACUAGCCUGUGCUCCCUGGGUUAGCUUGCCAUUAGAAUUCCAUUAGAUAUAGCCA
This is a long non-coding RNA of Pipistrellus kuhlii (Kuhl's pipistrelle), 697 nucleotides long. RefSeq lists it as uncharacterized. The transcript is spliced from 3 exons. The record is from RefSeq and is a predicted model, not a curated record. NCBI's taxonomy places the organism in Eukaryota, Metazoa, Chordata, Mammalia, Chiroptera, Vespertilionidae.